CGAAUCUCAAAAAAUAAGUCUCAGUUCAGAUUGCAGGCUGCAACUCGCCUGCAUGAAGAUGGAAUUGCUAGUAAUCGCGGAUCAGAAUGCCGCGGUGAAUACGUUCCCGGGCCUUGUACACACCGCCCGUCACACCAUGAGAGUUGGCAAUACCCAACGUACGUGAUCUAACCCGCAAGGGAGGAAGCGUCCUAAGGUAGGGUCAGCGAUUGGGGUGAAGUCGUAACAAGGUAUC
This 235-nucleotide ribosomal RNA is filed under the name uncultured bacterium. RNAcentral describes it as "partial 16S ribosomal RNA". It matches the Rfam family "Bacterial small subunit ribosomal RNA", at positions 1268 to 1500 of the family's 1533-position model. The record is from RNAcentral.